UACGUAGGGUCCGAGCGUUGUCCGGAAUUACUGGGCGUAAAGAGCUCGUAGGUGGUUUGUCGCGUUGUUCGUGAAAACUCACAGCUCAACUGUGGGCGUGCGGGCGAUACGGGCAGACUUGAGUACUGCAGGGGAGACUGGAAUUCCUGGUGUAGCGGUGGAAUGCGCAGAUAUCAGGAGGAACACCAGUGGCGAAGGCAGCUCGCUGGGACGGUACUGACGCUGAGGCGCGAAAGCGUGGGGAGCAAACAGG
RNAcentral lists this ribosomal RNA (253 nucleotides) under uncultured bacterium. RNAcentral describes it as "partial 16S ribosomal RNA". It matches the Rfam family "Bacterial small subunit ribosomal RNA", at positions 524 to 776 of the family's 1533-position model. The record is from RNAcentral.